GCGCCCGUAGCUCAAUAGGAAGAGCAGGGCCCUUCUAAGGCUCAGGUUGCAGGUUCGAGUCCUGCCGGGCGCGCCC
RNAcentral lists this transfer RNA (76 nucleotides) under Candidatus Fraserbacteria bacterium. RNAcentral describes it as "tRNA-Arg". It matches the Rfam family "tRNA". Rfam says of the family: Transfer RNA (tRNA) molecules are approximately 80 nucleotides in length. Their secondary structure includes four short double-helical elements and three loops (D, anti-codon, and T loops). Lineage: Bacteria; Candidatus Fraseribacteriota. The record is from RNAcentral.